This 393-nucleotide ribosomal RNA is filed under the name Vibrio sp. S234-5. Its description in RNAcentral is "bacterial SSU rRNA". It matches the Rfam family "Bacterial small subunit ribosomal RNA", at positions 646 to 1038 of the family's 1533-position model. The record is from RNAcentral. Lineage: Bacteria; Pseudomonadati; Pseudomonadota; Gammaproteobacteria; Vibrionales; Vibrionaceae.
GUACUGCAGAGGGGGGUAGAAUUUCAGGUGUAGCGGUGAAUUGCGUAGAGAUCUGAAGGAAUACCGGUGUCGAAGGCGGCCCCCUGGACAGAUACUGACACUCAGAUGCGAAAGCGUGGGGAGCAAACAGGAUUAGAUACCCUGGUAGUCCACGCCGUAAACGAUGUCUACUUGGAGGUUGUGGCCUUGAGCCGUGGCUUUCGGAGCUAACGCGUUAAGUAGACCGCCUGGGGAGUACGGUCGCAAGAUUAAAACUCAAUUGAAUUGACGGGGGCCCGCACAAGCGGCGGAGCAUGUGGGUUAAUUCGAUGCAAUGCGAAGAAUCUUACCUACUCUUGACAUCUACAGAAUCCUGCGGUGACGCGGGAGCGCCUUCUGGAACCGUUAGACAGG